UACGUAGGGUGCGAGCGUUAAUCGGAAUUACUGGGCGUAAAGGGUGCGCAGGCGGUUAUAUAAGACAGAUGUGAAAUCCCCGGGCUCAACCUGGGAACUGCGUUUGUGACUGUAUGACUAGAGUACGGGUAGAGAGGGGUGGAAUUCCUGGUGUAGCAGUGAAAUGCGUAGAUAUCAGGAGGAACAUCGAUGGCGAAGGCAGCCCCUUGGACCUGUACUGACGCUCAUGCACGAAAGCGUGGGGAGCAAACAGG
RNAcentral lists this ribosomal RNA (254 nucleotides) under uncultured bacterium. RNAcentral's name for it is "partial 16S ribosomal RNA". It matches the Rfam family "Bacterial small subunit ribosomal RNA", at positions 524 to 776 of the family's 1533-position model. The record is from RNAcentral.